UAAUAUAGAUACUCCGAAGUUUAAGAUUUCUAAGGUGCUUGCUAUGAACUUAAACCCGUAGGGUAUAAUCGGAAACGGUUAUGUCUCCCAUUGUGGAAAAGGGGCUUGACAGAAUAAU
This 118-nucleotide non-coding RNA is filed under the name Acetobacterium wieringae. RNAcentral's name for it is "MoCo sequence". It matches the Rfam family "Molybdenum/Tungsten riboswitch aptamer (Moco RNA motif)". The record is from RNAcentral. Lineage: Bacteria; Bacillati; Bacillota; Clostridia; Eubacteriales; Eubacteriaceae.